UUUUUCGUUGAAAAAAGAGAUUAAAAGGGAAUCCUGUGAAAGACAGGGACUAUCCCCGUAGCUGUGAGUUUCAGUAAAAGUCUGUUCGAUAAAUGCCACUGGAAAUUUCGUAUAUGACCGGGAAGGUGUAGCAGAUGAAACAAGUCAGAAGACCUGCCGUUUGUGA
RNAcentral lists this non-coding RNA (166 nucleotides) under human gut metagenome. The record is from RNAcentral.